This is a long non-coding RNA of Passer domesticus (house sparrow), 980 nucleotides long. RefSeq lists it as uncharacterized. The transcript has 4 exons. Lineage: Eukaryota; Metazoa; Chordata; Aves; Passeriformes; Passeridae. The record is from RefSeq and is a predicted model, not a curated record.
CCAACCAGCUGGACUGGCACCGUGUGUUCUGGGCACUCAGCCCAGAGCUGGCCCUGGAGGUGACACCUGGCUCACCCUGGGUCACAGCAGUGGCUGUGAAUGUCAGCAGGACCCUCCUGUUCCUCCUCCUGCUCCUGGCUGUCAUCAGCGGCUGUCACUGGUGGAUCUGUGUAGCUGCCAGGAAGCCCCAGGACAGCUCAUUAGACUUGGCUUGAGAUCGUUUAUCAGCAGUGUUCUCCCCCGUCCGUGCCCAGACAACAACAGUGUUCCAGCAGACUGUGGAGGAGUGAAUCCAGUCCCUGAUAACAAAUUCUGUGCUUCUUCUUCUCCCUGCCUUUGCUCUCAGCCAGUCUUGAAGGCACAGAAUAUAAUAUCCAGCAUAAAUGGAACACCUGAUUGGGGAUACAAGCAUCAUAAUGUCACCCUAGGACAGGGUCAAACCAAACAAAAGGAUUCCCAGAACAUGUAAACUCAAAAACAAUGUUUGCAUAUGUAUAAUCCUCAUGAGUAUGUAUUUAACCAAUACAAUGAAAAGGUGUGUAAGAAUUGUUGUAGGUAACCAUGUGCAUCUGGCAGUUGCCAAGCACCCAGCAUGCUGUUUACUGACCCUUUUAUCCCUUAUUAAACAUUUACAAAUUUUAAAGAGUGAGACUUGUUUCUCAUACAGUUUAACCAAAAAGCUGCAUUUUGGGUGCAGUAAGAGGGAAAAACAUUGCGUGCCCCCCCCCACCAGCACUGGAAGGGGAAAUGAGGAGCCCCGUGGGGUGCUGUGAAGAAGAAGGGACCCUGGGGGAGUCAAUGCCCCUCAAUGUCCCCAGUACCCCCCAGUGUUGCAGCACACUCUUGUGGGUAUCACAGGGGUCCUGCUGUCCCUUGUAGGGUCCUGACAGCUCUGCGCUGGUCCACAGUAGGGGAUGACACCCAUGGGUGAUGUUUCCCUGUACUUACCCCCCUCGUACUCACCCUCUGCCCACUCAGUU